UCGUGUGGUACCAUCAAUUUCGGUGCACGACCGAAAGUUUUUUCCCACAUAAAAGCAGUUUACAACCCGUAGGGCAGUCAUCCUGCACGCGGCAUGGCUGGGUCAGACUUGCGUCCAUUGCCCAAUAUUCCUU
RNAcentral lists this ribosomal RNA (133 nucleotides) under uncultured bacterium. Its description in RNAcentral is "partial 16S ribosomal RNA". The record is from RNAcentral.